GACGAACGCUGGCGGCGUGCUUAACACAUGCAAGUCGAACGGAAAGGCCUCUUUCGGGGGGUACUCGAGUGGCGAACGGGUGAGUAACACGUGAGUAACCUGCCCUUGACUUUGGGAUAACUUCAGGAAACUGGGGCUAAUACCGGAUAGGAGCUCCUGCUGCAUGGUGGGGGUUGGAAAGUUUCGGCGGUUGGGGAUGGACUCGCGGCUUAUCAGCUUGUUGGUGGGGUAGUGGCUUACCAAGGCCUUGACGGGUAGCCGGCCUGAGAGGGUGACCGGCCACAUUGGGACUGAGAGACGGCCCAGACUCCUACGGGAGGCAGCAGUGGGGAAUAUUGCACAAUGGGUGGAAGCCUGAUGCAGCAACGCCGUGUGCGGGAUGACGGCCUUCGGGUUGUAAAACGCUUUCGCUCAUGACGAAGCUUUGUGUGACGGUAGUGGGUAAAGAAGCACCGGCUAACUACGUG
Molecule: ribosomal RNA, 467 nt
Filed under: uncultured bacterium
Lineage: Bacteria
Description: partial 16S ribosomal RNA
Rfam family: Bacterial small subunit ribosomal RNA
Source: RNAcentral